GGGUCUUUAACGCUCUAACUCUAACAGCUACGGGCGGUUGGGAUUGCAGUGCAGCUGUCGAGCAGGUAUACAGGUUAUUCAUUGCUAUUGUCCUGAUCCCAUAUCCAGUUUUAGAAAUAUUUCAUUUAGUAAAGCCAGCAUCGAAACGACUGCUGAGAAAUUUCUUGUCUCCGCCGCAGACGAAGAAAAACAGCUAACACGUCAGUGUCGGCCCAAGCGCUCACGAGUAUGCAUCAUCUACGGACAGCAAUCGCAUUGAUAGGGCCGAGUUCCAAGCUGUGCAGCAGAGCAAAGAAGCCAGAAUAAAACGAAGACUUGAAAAAAAAACAGGCUGAAGCCAUCGACAAUGCUGAAGGAUGUGUGCUGUAUGGAGCUGGAAUUGAUGAUUCUGUAUAAUUUCCGGCCGAGU
Cotesia glomerata is the source of this 409-nucleotide long non-coding RNA. RefSeq lists it as uncharacterized. NCBI's taxonomy places the organism in Eukaryota, Metazoa, Arthropoda, Insecta, Hymenoptera, Braconidae. The record is from RefSeq and is a predicted model, not a curated record. The transcript has 3 exons.